AAGUCGUAACAAGGUUUCCGUAGGUGAACCUGCGGAAGGAUCAUUACCGAGUAAGGGUCUUCUGGGCCCGACCUCCAACCCUUUGUUUAUCAAACCAUGUUGCUUUGGCGGGCCCGCCUCUUCGGGGCCGCUGGGGGCCUUACCGCCUCUGGCCAGUGCCCGCCAGUGGCCUUUUCCAAAACUCUCUUAACCUAUUGUCUGAGUCUAAACAAAAAUCGUUUAAAACUUUCAACAACGGAUCUCUUGGUUCUG
This 252-nucleotide unclassified non-coding RNA is filed under the name Chaetothyriales sp. RNAcentral's name for it is "partial contains small subunit ribosomal RNA, internal transcribed spacer 1, and 5.8S ribosomal RNA". The stretch from base 1 to 46 matches the Rfam family "Eukaryotic small subunit ribosomal RNA", at positions 1786 to 1831 of the family's 1831-position model. Lineage: Eukaryota; Fungi; Ascomycota; Eurotiomycetes; Chaetothyriales. The record is from RNAcentral.